Non-coding RNA from Ochrobactrum sp. P6BS-III, 80 nucleotides. Lineage: Bacteria; Pseudomonadati; Pseudomonadota; Alphaproteobacteria; Hyphomicrobiales; Brucellaceae. The record is from Rfam.
AAUGUGUUCCGUGGUGAUUUGGCCGGCCGGCUUGCAGCCACGUUAAAGAAUUCGCUAAAAAGGGCCGCGGUUCGUUACCG